GGUGUGGUGCCGGCGCGGGCGUCGUGGAGACGGCGAGAGGUGCUGCGCCGGGUGGAGGGGUGCGGCGCGUGCACGGCGCGCUCCGGCCAGGCUGCCGUGCGAGGGAAGAGGCCGCUGCCGCGCUGCUCCGGAACGCGGCGUCACGAGUGUGGCACGCAGUGGUGCCUCAGUCGUACCACGGCUACCGUCAAUAGGCUGCGCCAAAGAAUCCGGAUAGAGGCUGCUUUCGUCAGACGUUCUGGUGAAAGGAGUCGGCCUCUUCCGGCGGUGUCGUGGACGCCGCUGACCGCGGGGCCGCGCGGGGUCACGCGGGGUCAGGCCGGGUCACGUUGGGUUACGCGCCUCGCAGUCGGGCGCUGGACCGGUUCCAGUGGGCAGCAAUACGGCGCUAAGGGGAUGGGCAUCCUCUGAUCGGCAGCCGCUGCCGCAUGAUGAUCAGCAGGAGUCGGCCGCCGAGUGUGACGCGGCCAGAGCCGGUGCCGCUGCAGGAGUAUACCCUGGA
Molecule: long non-coding RNA, 502 nt
Organism: Pollicipes pollicipes
Lineage: Eukaryota; Metazoa; Arthropoda; Thecostraca; Pollicipedomorpha; Pollicipedidae
Exons: 3
Source: RefSeq, a predicted model, not a curated record